UCUCACUGUUCUUUUCCCAAACACACAAGAUCUCACAAUCCCAGCAAGAGGAAAUGACUUAGGGAUGAAGGCUUCAGAGGAGGAAAAAAAAAUAGAGGCUUCCAAUAAAAAUCAUUUCUAGAAGGAAUGAAGCUGUUAUUGGCAAGUCAACCAGUGAGAGAGACGACUUUGGAAAGAAAGAAGUUCUAUCUUCUAUCCACAUGUCUGUUAGAGAAUGUUUGCAGGUAUUUCCUGGGGGCUUCCCUGGUGGCUCAGAUGGUAAAGAGUCUGCCUGCAGUACAGGAGACCAGGGUUCGAUCCCUGGAUUUGGAAGAUCUGAUGGAGAAGGGAAUGGCUACCAACUCCAGUAUUCUUGCCUAGAGAAUUCCACAGACAGAGGAUCCUGGAGAGCCACAGUACACGGGAUUGCAAAGAGCUGGACAAGACUGACUAACACUAUUACCCUCCUACAGAGUUCCAAAAAAACAGCAGGAAAGGAAACAGGAUUGCUGAUGAAGUACAAGAUCAUCAGAAUUAAAGUUCUCAAGGAAUUAAAUCUCUCACUCCUGGCAAAACACCAUGCCAUGUAUUUAACUCAGCAUCCUGUGCCAAGGAGGUGAAAAAAGCCAGAAAAUAUCCUGUCCACAGUUUCUCCAUCCUCCUUCACACUCAGCCCACACAGAUGGAACUAAGAAACAUGGCGCUGGAAGCUGGGAGCCUGUGCUGCCUAAUAAGCAUGCGCUUGACUGUGGCUUCACCCAAGUGGACUGACCCACAGCAAAAGCACGGGGACUAUCCACCUGAUGAAUUCAUGGUCAGAAUCAUGAAAAUUAUAGCUAGCAUGGAUGGAAUAAAAGCCAUAUUCUGCCAGAGACUGUAUAAGCA
Molecule: long non-coding RNA, 864 nt
Organism: Bos indicus x Bos taurus (hybrid cattle)
Lineage: Eukaryota; Metazoa; Chordata; Mammalia; Artiodactyla; Bovidae
Source: Ensembl